GAACGAUGACGAAACAGCUUGCUGUUUCUGAUUAGUGGCGGACGGGUGAGUAAUGUAUAGGGAUCUGCCUGACAGUGGGGGACAACAGCCGGAAACGGCUGCUAAUACCGCAUACGCUCUACGGAGGAAAGUGGGGGACCUUUCGGGGCCUCACGCUGACAGAUGAACCUAUAUCAGAUUAGCUAGUUGGUGGGGUAAUGGCUUACCAAGGCGACGAUCUGUAGCUGGUCUGAGAGGAUGAUCAGCCACACUGGGACUGAGACACGGCCCAGACUCCUACGGGAGGCAGCAGUGGGGAAUAUUGGACAAUGGGGGCAACCCUGAUCCAGCAAUGCCGCGUGUGUGAAGAAGGCCUUCGGGUUGUAAAGCACUUUCAAUAGGGAGGAAAAGCUAUGCGUUAAUAGCGUAUAGCCGUGACG
This 419-nucleotide ribosomal RNA is filed under the name uncultured Gammaproteobacteria bacterium. RNAcentral describes it as "bacterial SSU rRNA". It matches the Rfam family "Bacterial small subunit ribosomal RNA", at positions 64 to 474 of the family's 1533-position model. Lineage: Bacteria; Pseudomonadati; Pseudomonadota; Gammaproteobacteria. The record is from RNAcentral.